UGUAAAGUGCCUGAUAAAAAGGAUUAUCUUGAUAGGAUAAAAAUAAGUUCUUCUUCUUUACAA
Molecule: transfer RNA, 63 nt
Filed under: Ricinus sp. ADS-2020
Lineage: Eukaryota; Metazoa; Arthropoda; Insecta; Psocodea; Ricinidae
Description: tRNA-Ile
Source: RNAcentral